RNAcentral lists this ribosomal RNA (382 nucleotides) under Loris tardigradus nordicus. RNAcentral's name for it is "partial 12S ribosomal RNA". It matches the Rfam family "Bacterial small subunit ribosomal RNA", at positions 800 to 1380 of the family's 1533-position model. The record is from RNAcentral. Lineage: Eukaryota; Metazoa; Chordata; Mammalia; Primates; Lorisidae.
CCAUAAACUUAGGUAGUAUGUUAACAAGACUACUCGCCAGAGUACUACAAGCAACAGCUUAAAACUCAAAGGACUUGGCGGUGCUUUACACCCCCCUAGAGGAGCCUGUUCUAUAAUCGAUAAACCCCGAUAAACCUCACCACUUCUUGCUAAUACAGCCUAUAUACCGCCAUCUUCAGCAAACCCUAUCAAGGACCAAAAGUAAGCAAGAGAAUAAUACAUUAAAACGUUAGGUCAAGGUGUAGCCUAUGAAGUGGGAAGAAAUGGGCUACAUUUUCUGCUUAUACAGAAAACAAACGCCACCUCUAAUGAAAUAUAAAGGCAAAGGCGGAUUUAGAAGUAAAUUAAGAAUAGAGAGCUUAAUUGAAUAGGGCAAUGAAGC